RNAcentral lists this small RNA (28 nucleotides) under Bombyx mori (domestic silkworm). Its description in RNAcentral is "ovarian small RNA-7825". The record is from RNAcentral. Lineage: Eukaryota; Metazoa; Arthropoda; Insecta; Lepidoptera; Bombycidae.
UCUUGGUGUCUUCGAAAGCCUUCAGAGC